RNAcentral lists this ribosomal RNA (198 nucleotides) under uncultured bacterium. Its description in RNAcentral is "partial 16S ribosomal RNA". It matches the Rfam family "Bacterial small subunit ribosomal RNA", at positions 328 to 539 of the family's 1533-position model. The record is from RNAcentral.
ACGCUCGACACCUACGGGGGCAGCAGUGGGGAAUAUUGCACAAUGGGGGAAACCCGUGAUGCAGCGACGCCGCGUGAGUGAAGAAGUAUUUCGGUAUGUAAAGCUCUAUCAGCAGGGAAGAAGAUGACGGUACCUGAGUAAGAAGCCCCGGCUAACUACGUGCCGGCAGCCGCGGUAAUCUGAGCGGGCUGGCAAGGC